RNAcentral lists this long non-coding RNA (2155 nucleotides) under Panax ginseng (ginseng). RNAcentral describes it as "long non-coding RNA (PGIN_LNC017202)". Lineage: Eukaryota; Viridiplantae; Streptophyta; Magnoliopsida; Apiales; Araliaceae. The record is from RNAcentral.
GAAAUUAUUACGAUUUUCGGUUAGGUUGUACGGAUAUUACUUUUGGCUUAUUCGAGUAAACCGAAUAACCGAACAAGCUAAGCAAAGUCUACAGAUCUACUCAUCUACACGAUAACAGGACUCGUCGACUACAUUCAAUCACUCAUCUUAGUCAUCUACUUUACUAAACUGUUUGAAGUCUCUGUCCUCUGAAGGCUACACGACUCGUCGAUCUCGAUCCUCAUCUACACGACUCGUCGAUCUCGAUCCUCUGAAGUCUCUGUCCUCUGAAGUCUCAAUCUCUGUCCUCUCACCUCUGAAGUCUCAACUCUCAACUCUCAACUCUCAACAGUCAGUCAGUCAACAGAUCUCGAUCGAUUUCUCUCAGAGUCGGACUCUCAGAGAUCUCGAACUCUCAUCGCCUCAUCGGUCGACGCGUCACGCCGACGGCAUCCGGUACGAUUUUCCUUCAACUUCAUUCUCUUACUCUCUAAUGGCUGCUCUGAAUUGAUUUAAUGGUUUUAUCAGUUGAGCUCCUAAAAAAUUGAUUUCAUGGUUUUAUCAGUUGCACGAUAUUAUCAAAUAGGUAGUAAUUGAAGUGUAUUAACAAUUGUGGUGGCUAUUAACUUUCUUGUCUCUGUUUGCAUUUGAAGAAUAGCUUGUUCUCUCCUAAAAUUUGGUUUCUAUGGUUUGCUGAAUUCUGAUUGUGUGUUGGCAGGCUGAAAUUGGAGACUUGUCUAGUAUUUUCUAUGGAGACCUAAUUUGAAUUUUGAAGGCAUAGCCUAUUUUUGGGGUGAUUUUCUACUUUCAAUUGUGCAGCACAUCAUAUAAAGAUAAUCUGUCUUGACAAGUAUAGAAGUUAGUUCAUAGGUAUUAUUGAAUAGUUUUGUUUUAUUGGCUAUUUUAAUAAUCCCAAAAGAUGAGGUAUUGUUGUGUUAAUGUUGUCAGGGUUGUGCAAUGAAUAAAAUUGACCAAAAUCUGAAGUCACAUUGUUAUGAUUAGGCAAUAAUAAUAAAUAUGUUUGGUGGCGUGACCGACGUGGAUUUGUAUGUUAGGCAUAUAGUAUUGUAUAUGGUCGUAUAUUUUUGUACUUUAUUUGAUUUUCUAAUGAUCCCCUUAAACAAUAUGAAAUGUAUACUUUCUUGAUUAUAUAUAUAUAUAGUUUUAAUUAACGUACUAGUAGUACGUAGGUAUCAUCAAUUAGUAAAGUAGUACUGUAGUAGUAAGUAACCAUGUUUUCAAGGUGCAAUAUGCUAUAAUCAUGGUGUAUACUGUAUAUCCCAUUGUUAUUUUAGAUUAUACUAGAAGUCUGGCUGUAUCAUGCACAUUACUUGCUAAAACUGAAGGCCGUGUAUUAGGCAACAAAAUUUUGAAAACUUAAAGAGGAAAUUGGUUUUAUCUUCAUCUCCCCUUGAUUUUCUUGAGCAGCCCCAGAUGACACUUGGACCACAUUUCAUGUCAGGUAAGACUGAAUAAGACCCCAACUCAACACCAUGUUUAAUAUUAGUUAUUGGUUGCGAAUUGUUGAUACUUGAAUUUCUUUAUACCUGCCUUUGUUUUGUGUACAUCAUGUUUUUUCUGCAGUUUGAAAUGUAUUUUUGUGUUCAUCUUCUCCUAAUAUUUUUUAUAUGAAGUUGAGGAAAAAAAAUGCUCUGUAUUGACUCUCACAGUGGGAAUAUUAAUCCAAAUAUUAAUUUAAUUUAUAUCAACUGCAGGAGCACCCAUACUUGAACAGGCCGUGGUAUACAUUACAUAUGAGUCAUUGAAGAAAAUAUGAGUUGAAUUCAUUCUUAUCUUCUAAGCUCAAGUCUCUGUCAUUACUGUUGAAGUUUCCCAAUGUAAUGGAUAGAAGGAAACUACUAAUUCUGGUUUGAUUUUGUAAUGUACUCUACAUUUUAGUUACUGCAUGAGUUUUUGCUUUUGGUUCCAAAAUGUAGCAUAAUUGCCAUUUUUCUCUUGUAAAGUAGUACUGUAGUUGUUGAAUGUUGUCCGUUCUCUGUUGGAAAUUCAUGUUGUGUUGUCAGUUGGUGUAUUCAUGUUGUGUUGUCAGUAUAUCAGUUGGACUUGGUGUUGUUGAUUGUUGUUGAAUGUUGUCUCAGUUGGUGUUGAAGAAUGUUGACUGUAGACAUAUAACACUGUUAGGAUAAUUCAUGCUGAUUGCUGUGUAGCGUGUCUG